AUUGAACGCUGGCGGCAGGCUUAACACAUGCAAGUCGAGCGGGGGAAGGUAGCUUGCUACUGGACCUAGCGGCGGACGGGUGAGUAAUGCUUAGGAAUCUGCCUAUUAGUGGGGGACAACAUCUCGAAAGGGAUGCUAAUACCGCAUACGUCCUACGGGAGAAAGCAGGGGAUCUUCGGACCUUGCGCUAAUAGAUGAGCCAAAGUCGGAUUAGCUAGUUGGUGGGGUAAAGGCCUACCAAGGCGACGAUCUGUAGCGGGUCUGAGAGGAUGAUCCGCCACACUGGGACUGAGACACGGCCCAGACUCCUACGGGAGGCAGCAGUGGGGAAUAUUGGACAAUGGGGGGAACCCUGAUCCAGCCAUGCCGCGUGUGUGAAGAAGGCCUUAUGGUAGUAAAGCACUUUAAGCGAGGAGGAGGCUACUCUAGUUAAUACCUAGGGAUAGUGGACGUUACUCGCAGAAUAAGCACCGGCUAACUCUGUGCCAGCCGCCGCAGUAA
This 501-nucleotide ribosomal RNA is filed under the name uncultured bacterium. Its description in RNAcentral is "partial 16S ribosomal RNA". It matches the Rfam family "Bacterial small subunit ribosomal RNA", at positions 30 to 523 of the family's 1533-position model. The record is from RNAcentral.